RNAcentral lists this small RNA (288 nucleotides) under Pseudoruegeria aquimaris. Its description in RNAcentral is "5' ureB small RNA". It matches the Rfam family "5' ureB small RNA". Lineage: Bacteria; Pseudomonadati; Pseudomonadota; Alphaproteobacteria; Rhodobacterales; Roseobacteraceae. The record is from Rfam by way of RNAcentral.
AUCCUCGAUCUGCUGCGGGCAGAUGUAAUGGAUGUGGCUGUCAAACCCGCCCGCCGUCAGGAUCCGCCCCUCGCCCGCGAUGGCCUCUGUGCCGGGGCCGACGAUGAUGUCCACGCCGGGCUGCGUAUCCGGGUUGCCGGCCUUGCCGAUGGCGGCGAUUCGGCCGUCCUUCAGGCCCACGUCGGCCUUGUAGAUGCCGGUGACAUCGAGGAUCAGCGCAUUGGUGAUGACGGUAUCCACCGCGCCUUCCGCGCGGGUCGUCUGCGCCUGCCCCAUGCCGUCGCGGAU